This 32-nucleotide transfer RNA is filed under the name Trochilus polytmus. RNAcentral describes it as "partial tRNA-Leu". The record is from RNAcentral. Lineage: Eukaryota; Metazoa; Chordata; Aves; Apodiformes; Trochilidae.
AACUUUUAAAGGAUAACAGUUAAUCCACUGGU